UGUAUUUGUAGCUCAGCAGGAUAGAGCGACCGCCUCCUAAGCGGUAGGUCGGCGGUUCAAAUCCGCCCAAGUACAU
This 76-nucleotide transfer RNA is filed under the name Clostridia bacterium. RNAcentral's name for it is "tRNA-Arg". It matches the Rfam family "tRNA". From Rfam's summary of the family: Transfer RNA (tRNA) molecules are approximately 80 nucleotides in length. The record is from RNAcentral. Lineage: Bacteria; Bacillati; Bacillota; Clostridia.